Molecule: long non-coding RNA, 1084 nt
Filed under: Equus caballus (horse)
Lineage: Eukaryota; Metazoa; Chordata; Mammalia; Perissodactyla; Equidae
Description: lncRNA (ENSECAG00000046207.1)
Source: RNAcentral
AGCUCAGAGGAAGACGACUUGAAGACUGUCUCAGAGGAAGACAGAGAGAAGGCGGCGUCUGCAGCAAGGAAAGGGGCCUCAGAAGAAGCCGACCUGCUGGCACCUUCAUCUUCCACUUCCAGCUUCCAGAACUAUGGGAAAAUGAAUUUCUGUUGAUGACAUCUGUGACUAUGUAUGCAAGACCACAGUGAAAUCAGUUGCAAAAUGAAAAUUGGAAGUCUUCUAAAAGAUGUAGUCUGUGAAGCAAUGAGUCUGACCUUGGAGAAUUGAAUCAUGCACAAAGCCAUGACAGGCAGGAGGAAACAGUCAAUAACAGAGAAAGAAAACUGAGCAGACAGAUUUGGCAGACAUUAGAGGUGACUCAUUCAACGUCUCCCAACCUCAUAUUUCUUGCCUGCCUCUACUUUAGAGGCUAGAAAAGCUAAAAUAACCCCUCUUUCUGUCUUCCCUACAGACAGCAAGAACCAGAUGCUCAGGAUCAAACCUGGUUUUGCCUCUUCCUGAGCAAGUCGCUUAACUCUCUUUCCCUCCAUUUGCUCAUCUGUAAAAUGUACCUGCCUCAUGGAGUUGUUCUGAGGAUUAAAUGAGUUGAUGUAUGUGAAGCCCUGAGAAUAAUUCCUGCAAAUAGCGUGUGCUCAGUAAGUGUGACCAGGAGUCCCAGGAGUGAUCUGGGAGCAGGGUCACACGCAUUCACACCGCUGGUGCAGAUGAGGAGACAUGAUUGACAGUCCCACAGACUGGAAGUUUUGGAGGAGAGGUGUUUCACUGAAGGAAACUCUGGACGUCGGGCUGGCCGAAUCUCUAGAGGUCCACCAGCUGGGCUAAGUUGCCGGGGACAGCCAGGGCGAUUGUCAUAAGUCAUCCACUUACCAAGGGGACGAGGAGAAGGCUUGUAGCUCCUAGACUAUUGAACUCCAGGCAUCACCACAGCAGCCCUGGAAGGCUAGUCCCUGGUGAAACCAGUUUGGAAAGUUCUCCUCUUCUUCCCCCGAUAUUCCUGUUACAUUUCCUUAUGCGUGAUUUUCUCAGCCCUGCAGCGAUUCACACAAAGUUGUGAUAAACACUCCUUUCCCAUCUGUAAUGC